UACGUAGGGGGCAAGCGUUGUCCGGAAUCAUUGGGCGUAAAGCGCGUGUAGGCGGCUUGGUAAGUCCGUUCUGAAAGCCCGGGGCUCAACCCCAGGAGGCGGAUGGAUACUGUCAAGCUUGAGUCCGGAAGAGGCGAGUGGAAUUCCCGGUGUAGCGGUGAAAUGCGCAGAUAUCGGGAGGAACACCAAUGGCGAAGGCAGCUCGCUGGGACGUGACUGACGCUGAGACGCGAAAGCGUGGGGAGCAAACAGG
This 253-nucleotide ribosomal RNA is filed under the name uncultured bacterium. Its description in RNAcentral is "partial 16S ribosomal RNA". It matches the Rfam family "Bacterial small subunit ribosomal RNA", at positions 524 to 776 of the family's 1533-position model. The record is from RNAcentral.